AUCCAGCUUGCUGGAUGCUGACGAGCGGCGGACGGGUGAGUAAUGCAUAGGAAUCUGCCCGAUAGUGGGGGAUAACCUGGGGAAACCCAGGCUAAUACCGCAUACGUCCUACGGGAGAAAGGGGGCUCCGGCUCCCGCUAUGGGAUGAGCCUAUGUCGGAUUAGCUAGUUGGUGAGGUAACGGCUCACCAAGGCCACGAUCCGUAGCUGGUCUGAGAGGAUGAUCAGCCACAUCGGGACUGAGACACGGCCCGAACUCCUACGGGAGGCAGCAGUGGGGAAUAUUGGACAAUGGGGGAAACCCUGAUCCAGCCAUGCCGCGUGUGUGAAGAAGGCCCUCGGGUUGUAAAGCACUUUCAGCGAGGAAGAACGCCUAGCGGUUAAUACCCGCUAGGAAAGACAUCACUCGCAGAAGAAGCACCGGCUAACUCCGUGCCAGCAGCCGCGGUAAUACGGAGGGUGCAAGCGUUAAUCGGAAUUACUGGGCGUAAAGCGCGCGUAGGUGGCUUGAUAAGCCGGUUGUGAAAGCCCCGGGCUCAACCUGGGAACGGCAUCCGGAACUGUCAAGCUAGAGUGCAGGAGAGGAAGGUAGAAUUCCCGGUGUAGCGGUGAAAUGCGUAGAGAUCGGGAGGAAUACCAGUGGCGAAGCGGCCUUCUGGACUGACACUGACACUGAUGUGCGAAAGCGUGGGUAGCAAACAGGAUUAGAUACCCUGGUAGUCCACGCCGUAAACGAUGUCGACCAGCCGUUGGGGUGCCUAGCGCACUUUGUUGGCGAAGUUUAACGCGAUUAGUCGACCGCCUGGGGGAGUA
Molecule: ribosomal RNA, 812 nt
Filed under: Halomonas sp.
Lineage: Bacteria; Pseudomonadati; Pseudomonadota; Gammaproteobacteria; Oceanospirillales; Halomonadaceae
Description: bacterial SSU rRNA
Rfam family: Bacterial small subunit ribosomal RNA
Source: RNAcentral